CCUACGGGUGGCAGCAGUGAGGAAUAUUGGUCAAUGGCCGGAAGGCUGAACCAGCCAAGCAGCGUGCGGGAGGACGGCGCAGAGCGUCGCAGACUUCUUUUGUCGGGGGACAAAAUGCCGGACUCGUCCGGUCCUGAGGGUACCCGGAGAAAAAGGAUCGGCUAACUCCGUGCCAGCAGCCGCGGUAAUACGGAGGAUGCGAGCGUUAUCCGGAUUCAUUGGGUUUAAAGGGUGCGCAGGCGGGCCUUUAAGCGGGCGGUGAAAUCGCGGGGCUCAACCCCGCCCAGCGGGCGGAACUGGGGGCCUUGAGUGCGGGGGAGGCAUGCGGAAUGCGCGGUGUAGCGGUGAAAUGCAUAGAUAUCGCGCAGAACCCCGAUUGCGAAGGCAGCGUGCCGUGCCGCCACUGACGCUGAGGCACGAAAGCGCGGGGAUCGAACAGGAUUAGAUACCCUAGUAGUC
This 459-nucleotide ribosomal RNA is filed under the name uncultured bacterium. RNAcentral describes it as "partial 16S ribosomal RNA". It matches the Rfam family "Bacterial small subunit ribosomal RNA", at positions 338 to 795 of the family's 1533-position model. The record is from RNAcentral.